Molecule: non-coding RNA, 69 nt
Organism: [Candida] anglica
Lineage: Eukaryota; Fungi; Ascomycota; Pichiomycetes; Serinales; Debaryomycetaceae
Source: the annotation of a GenBank genome assembly
ACAGUAUAAUGUAAUGGUAUCAUAUAACGCUCAUGUCGUUAUAAUAAUAGUUCGAAUCUAUUUACUGUA